Molecule: ribosomal RNA, 253 nt
Filed under: uncultured bacterium
Lineage: Bacteria
Description: partial 16S ribosomal RNA
Rfam family: Bacterial small subunit ribosomal RNA
Source: RNAcentral
UACGUAGGGACCGAGCGUUGUCCGGAAUCAUUGGGCGUAAAGAGCGUGUAGGCGGCCACUUAAGUCCUGCGUGAAAUCCUGCGGCUCAACCUGGGAACGGCGCGCGAAACGGGGGGGCUGGAGUUCGGGAGAGGAGCGUGGAAUUCCCAGUGUAGAGGUGAAAUGCGCAGAUAUCAGGAGGAACACCGGUGGCGAAGGCGGGUCUCUGGGCCGAUACUGACGCUGAGGAGCAAAAGCGUGGGGAGCGAACAGG